GUUGUGGCUCAGGGGUAGAGCGCUUGCCUAGCAUGCAUGAGGCACUGGGUUCGACUCUCAGCACACA
Molecule: transfer RNA, 67 nt
Filed under: Marmota monax (woodchuck)
Lineage: Eukaryota; Metazoa; Chordata; Mammalia; Rodentia; Sciuridae
Description: tRNA.Ala
Rfam family: tRNA
About the family: Transfer RNA (tRNA) molecules are approximately 80 nucleotides in length. Their secondary structure includes four short double-helical elements and three loops (D, anti-codon, and T loops). Further hydrogen bonds mediate the characteristic L-shaped molecular structure. tRNAs have two regions of fundamental functional importance: the anti-codon, which is responsible for specific mRNA codon recognition, and the 3' end, to which the tRNAs corresponding amino acid is attached (by aminoacyl-tRNA synthetases). tRNAs cope with the degeneracy of the genetic code in two manners: having more than one tRNA (with a specific anti-codon) for a particular amino acid; and 'wobble' base-pairing, i.e. permitting non-standard base-pairing at the 3rd anti-codon position.
Source: RNAcentral